Molecule: long non-coding RNA, 116 nt
Organism: Sphaeramia orbicularis (orbiculate cardinalfish)
Lineage: Eukaryota; Metazoa; Chordata; Actinopteri; Kurtiformes; Apogonidae
Exons: 3
Source: RefSeq, a predicted model, not a curated record
AUAAUAACAAUAAUAAAAGUUGUCCAAACCUUACAACAGGGCUAAUGAGUUCAAAUACCUGUAAUUUUAACAGGGCAUUAAAUUAUGCACAAAUGUUUAUGGCUGAGAAGUUUGUG